UACGUAGGGUGCGAGCGUUAAUCGGAUUUACUGGGCGUAAAGAGCGCGCAGGCGGUCGUCCAAGUCGCGUGUGAAAGCCCCCGGCUCAACUGGGGAGGGUCACGCGAUACUGGUCGACUCGAAGGCAGGAGAGGGUAGUGGAAUUCCCGGUGUAGUGGUGAAAUGCGUAGAUAUCGGGAGGAACACCAGUGGCGAAGGCGACUACCUGGCCUGUUCUUGACGCUGAGGCGCGAAAGCUAGGGGAGCAAACGGG
This 253-nucleotide ribosomal RNA is filed under the name uncultured bacterium. Its description in RNAcentral is "partial 16S ribosomal RNA". It matches the Rfam family "Bacterial small subunit ribosomal RNA", at positions 524 to 776 of the family's 1533-position model. The record is from RNAcentral.